UUAGUAAUCAUAUUUGCUUGCUAGAGAAUAAAUGUGAUUAGCAGGACAAUAUUGAUUGGACCUACAACUAAAAUAUAUUAAUCCUAUAAGGUCACACAUAUAAGCAUUAAUUGGAAUGGGCCCAAAAGGCCCGAUGGCAACCGGUCUGUUAAGGGAAGAAUGUUGGGCUUUGGUUUUGUGUUAACCUAAAACUCUCACAUUAUAAUAGUUAUAAUGUCAGGGAUUUAGAAAUCACGUUCAUUCAAUAUCUGACAAAAAGGAAAACACAAAAACCCUAAUUCUAAUUCUCUAAACGCCGUACAUCCCAAACAAAGCAAGAGACAGAUUGUGAUCGUUCUCUUCCGUACUAGCAUACGUGGGAUUCAAUUCGUGCUUGUGGACUGAGUAGAGGAGCAACAAGUGGGGCUCUAAGAUCUUCGAAGCUUGCAUACGAACGGGAGAACACGCUUCAAAGGAAUUGGAGGGAGUUUGCGGCAUUUCAGUGACCAGAAAGUGCUGAAGAUCGAGGACGAGGUGAUCGAGGAUGAGGUCAAGAAAAUUCGGCGUGAAUUAGAUGCUGCCAAGGAGAGUUUCCUUAGAAUUCCACAUGCUCUUAAGUCUAUGCCUAAGAUGAAUCCUGAGGAUUUUGACUUGACUUGCAUAGUCGUUGAUCCGUCUGCAAUAUUAGCUGCAAUUGUAACAGCUCUGAAGUCUGAUCAAAGUCCAACUUACAGUCAAAUUACUUGGAUGUCAUUUACUGAUUUGAGAAAUACAUGGAGUGAUUUCCCAAGGCAGUACACAGAGGAAUACGAGCAAUGUAUCGAGACUAUUCUAUCAGCGAAUAAAGGAAGAUUUUUCAAGAGUGCAGGAGAUAUCGUAGAAGUAAGAUUUGCUCAGACCGUAAUGGUUGUAACCUGCGAAUGGGCAUGGUGGCUGAGGCAACAUAUCUGCAUAAGAGAGUCCAUGUUCUAUCAAUGGUCCAAUCAAUGGAUAGCAUUGUGAGGUUGAAGAAGAAGAAAGGAAGCUUGAAGCUGAAGAAACAGAGAAGCAGUGCUCGAAAGUAAACACUGAACUGAAAGAAUAGGAGAUUAAAUCCAACCGUUUUAAAGAGUUGGAGGAGAGGUACUGGAAUGAGUUCAAUAGCUUCCAGUUUUAACUAAUAUCACAUAAGGUUAACCAGCAUGAGGACGAAGAUAAUAGGCGUGUCUUCUUUCAUGGAGAUCUCAACCAACAUCUUUAAAAACGGGAGAUUACCGCCUUUUAACUCGAUUGAUGCAGUGAGGUUUAAAGAGGAGAUAAAAAGGUGUGCGAGAGGUGUUAUGAGAUAUGCAGACUAUUGUAGUAGCUCUUGUGAUCUACAUAAGGAUGGUGGUUUGGUGAAUGUUUUUUCAACUCAAAAUAUGGAAAUGAAGGUGGAAAUCUUUGUGUAAUUGAAUUUUUUUCGCUCAGCGCCUUUUCCCGAGGU
Molecule: RNA transcript, 1444 nt
Organism: Spinacia oleracea (spinach)
Lineage: Eukaryota; Viridiplantae; Streptophyta; Magnoliopsida; Caryophyllales; Amaranthaceae
Exons: 7
Source: RefSeq, a predicted model, not a curated record